UACGGAGGGUGCAAGCGUUAUCCGGAUUCACUGGGCGUAAAGGGUGUGUAGGCGGUUCUUUAAGUUUGGUGUGAAAUCUCGCGGCUCAACCGGGAGGGUGCGCCGAAUACUGAGGGACUCGAGUGCGGGAGAGGAAAGUGGAAUUCCUGGUGUAGCGGUGAAAUGCGUAGAUAUCAGGAGGAACACCGGUGGUGUAGACGGCUUUCUGGACCGUAACUGACGCUGAGACACGAAAGCGUGGGUAGCAAACAGG
RNAcentral lists this ribosomal RNA (253 nucleotides) under uncultured bacterium. Its description in RNAcentral is "partial 16S ribosomal RNA". It matches the Rfam family "Bacterial small subunit ribosomal RNA", at positions 524 to 776 of the family's 1533-position model. The record is from RNAcentral.